CUUUUCUCCUGUUGGUUGCCGUUUUUCUUAAUAGUGUGUUGCCACAGUAUCGGCAGUUCUGUGGAGUCCCUGCUAUUGAUUAUGUUUUCGAAGCCUCUUCGUCUUUCGGUCUCCAGUGUCUCUCUUGCGGGUCCUUGUUUCGUGUUGAUUGUGCGUUUUAGUGGCUCGGCCCGGUCCCACUGUGCUUCUAUGUUCUCUGCGGGGGGUUCUUUGGCUAAUGCUGUUGUCGUCUUUGCUUUUCUUAGGUCAUUUUUGUGCUCGUCUGGCCUUUCCUCCAUUGUACGGCUCGUGAGGCCUAUAUAUUUACUUGCGAUUUUGCUGUUCUUGUUAAUAAGUGGAAUGCUGUAGACACCCAGUUUAUACCGUGAUCAACCUGGCCAAUAGUGAAGUAGCUAUAAAAAGAAAUCCGUCUGUAUUUGAGUGCUUACGUAGUAGUAAAGACAA
Molecule: long non-coding RNA, 444 nt
Filed under: Androctonus crassicauda
Lineage: Eukaryota; Metazoa; Arthropoda; Arachnida; Scorpiones; Buthidae
Source: RNAcentral